GUGCAGUGACUUCCUGGAGUCUCUACUGACUGUCUGGCAACCUCAAGGCUCCAGUCUUCAUGCAGAAGAGACAGUUUUCAUCAAAGGACCAGUCAGACACUUCCUCGGGCUCGCAGUCUGGAUAAGAGAGGGAUACAGAGAGCAAAGGGUUAAAUCCAGACAAACUCCAACUCCCAUGAUUCCUCGGUGGAGUCUUCAAACCAGCUGUAAAUGAAGCGUAGAUGAAUCAACAGAGAAAUCCCAACACACAUCCAGUCGAGCCUGCAGAGUGAAAGCUGAGGGCCCACAAACCACAACAAUGAGAGCAUUAAAAUGAUUCACUUUUAAUUACAGCCGACGAUUAAAUUAAAGCGAUGACUACCUUCACACGUCAAGUACGCUGUGUGAAAAAUUAACCACACCUGUGAUUGACAGGUGAUCUCAAACGCUACGUGAAUGCCUCUCUGUGUGUGUGUAUGUGUGUGUACAUAUGUCUGCAUGUGUUUGUGAAGUAUUCAUGCCCUAAAGCCCUAUUUGUGAAGAAGUAAUAACCCCUUUCUGAGGCUGUAUUCUGCUAACAUGUUCAGUGGGAUGAAGAAAUUCACAGCAUCCUCCUGGUAGUUCAGCUGCUACAAAUCAUGAAACGGAAACAUCCUGGUUUUCAAUCCUCUCUCACCUCAGAACGUUUUUUUUAUCUCUCCCUAUCAAGUGGAGACGUGGGAAGAGCCUCUGGUUCUGCGAGUAAUUUCACCCCCACUGGAAAUUCACCUUUGAAAGUUUAUUUGUUACUAACUGUAGCUGAUCAGAAACAUACACAGGAGUUUUCUAGAUAAUUUAACAUUAUGUUAACAUAACAGAACAUAAAAAUGACAGAAUUCUGCAUAUUGUUAUAACAAAGAGGCUCGUCUACCAUGUGGUGCC
Molecule: long non-coding RNA, 900 nt
Organism: Thunnus maccoyii (southern bluefin tuna)
Lineage: Eukaryota; Metazoa; Chordata; Actinopteri; Scombriformes; Scombridae
Exons: 3
Source: RefSeq, a predicted model, not a curated record